RNAcentral lists this ribosomal RNA (558 nucleotides) under Cryptosporidium parvum. RNAcentral's name for it is "SSU rRNA". It matches the Rfam family "Eukaryotic small subunit ribosomal RNA", at positions 477 to 1065 of the family's 1831-position model. Lineage: Eukaryota; Apicomplexa; Conoidasida; Eucoccidiorida; Cryptosporidiidae. The record is from RNAcentral.
AACAAUACAGGACUUUUUGGUUUUGUAAUUGGAAUGAGUUAAGUAUAAACCCCUUUACAAGUAUCAAUUGGAGGGCAAGUCUGGUGCCAGCAGCCGCGGUAAUUCCAGCUCCAAUAGCGUAUAUUAAAGUUGUUGCAGUUAAAAAGCUCGUAGUUGGAUUUCUGUUAAUAAUUUAUAUAAAAUAUUUUGAUGAAUAUUUAUAUAAUAUUAACAUAAUUCAUAUUACUAUAUAUUUUAGUAUAUGAAAUUUUACUUUGAGAAAAUUAGAGUGCUUAAAGCAGGCAUAUGCCUUGAAUACUCCAGCAUGGAAUAAUAUUAAAGAUUUUUAUCUUUCUUAUUGGUUCUAAGAUAAGAAUAAUGAUUAAUAGGGACAGUUGGGGGCAUUUGUAUUUAACAGUCAGAGGUGAAAUUCUUAGAUUUGUUAAAGACAAACUAAUGCGAAAGCAUUUGCCAAGGAUGUUUUCAUUAAUCAAGAACGAAAGUUAGGGGAUCGAAGACGAUCAGAUACCGUCGUAGUCUUAACCAUAAACUAUGCCAACUAGAGAUUGGAGGUUGUUC